GGCGAACGGGUGAGUAACACGUGAGCAACCUGCCCCAGGCUUUGGGAUAACCCCGGGAAACCGGGGCUAAUACCGAAUAUGACCUCUGACCGCAUGGUUGGUGGUGGAAAGUUUUUCGGCUUGGGAUGGGCUCGCGGCCUAUCAGCUUGUUGGUGGGGUGAUGGCCUACCAAGGCGACGACGGGUAGCCGGCCUGAGAGGGCGACCGGCCACACUGGGACUGAGACACGGCCCAGACUCCUACGGGAGGCAGCAGUGGGGAAUAUUGCACAAUGGGCGGAAGCCUGAUGCAGCGACGCCGCGUGAGGGAUGACGGCCUUCGGGUUGUAAACCUCUUUCAGCAGGGACGAAGCGUAAGUGACGGUACCUGCAGAAGAAGCGCCGGCCAACUACGUGCCAGCAGCCGCGGUAAGACGUAGGGCGCGAGCGUUGUCCGGAUUUAUUGGGCGUAAAGAGCUCGUAGGCGGCUUGUCGCGUCGACCGUGAAAACUUGGGGCUCAACCCCAAGCCUGCGGUCGAUACGGGCAGGCUAGAGUUCGGUAGGGGAGACUGGAAUUCCUGGUGUAGCGGUGAAAUGCGCAGAUAUCAGGAGGAACACCGGUGGCGAAGGCGGGUCUCUGGGCCGAUACUGACGCUGAGGAGCGAAAGCGUGGGGAGCGAACAGGAUUAGAUACCCUGGUA
RNAcentral lists this ribosomal RNA (680 nucleotides) under Micromonospora aurantiaca (nom. illeg.). RNAcentral's name for it is "bacterial SSU rRNA". It matches the Rfam family "Bacterial small subunit ribosomal RNA", at positions 97 to 792 of the family's 1533-position model. Lineage: Bacteria; Bacillati; Actinomycetota; Actinomycetes; Micromonosporales; Micromonosporaceae. The record is from RNAcentral.